Molecule: ribosomal RNA, 799 nt
Filed under: Streptomyces lutosisoli
Lineage: Bacteria; Bacillati; Actinomycetota; Actinomycetes; Kitasatosporales; Streptomycetaceae
Description: bacterial SSU rRNA
Rfam family: Bacterial small subunit ribosomal RNA
Source: RNAcentral
UGGAUUAGUGGCGAACGGGUGAGUAACACGUGGGCAAUCUGCCCUUCACUCUGGGACAAGCCCUGGAAACGGGGUCUAAUACCGGAUAACACUCCUGCCUGCAUGGGUGGGGGUUAAAAGCUCCGGCGGUGAAGGAUGAGCCCGCGGCCUAUCAGCUUGUUGGUGAGGUAGUGGCUCACCAAGGCGACGACGGGUAGCCGGCCUGAGAGGGCGACCGGCCACACUGGGACUGAGACACGGCCCAGACUCCUACGGGAGGCAGCAGUGGGGAAUAUUGCACAAUGGGCGAAAGCCUGAUGCAGCGACGCCGCGUGAGGGAUGACGGCCUUCGGGUUGUAAACCUCUUUCAGCAGGGAAGAAGCGAAAGUGACGGUACCUGCAGAAGAAGCGCCGGCUAACUACGUGCCAGCAGCCGCGGUAAUACGUAGGGCGCAAGCGUUGUCCGGAAUUAUUGGGCGUAAAGAGCUCGUAGGCGGCUUGUCACGUCGGUUGUGAAAGCCCGGGGCUUAACCCCGGGUCUGCAGUCGAUACGGGCAGGCUAGAGUGUGGUAGGGGAGAUCGGAAUUCCUGGUGUAGCGGUGAAAUGCGCAGAUAUCAGGAGGAACACCGGUGGCGAAGGCGGAUCUCUGGGCCAUUACUGACGCUGAGGAGCGAAAGCGUGGGGAGCGAACAGGAUUAGAUACCCUGGUAGUCCACGCCGUAAACGGUGGGAACUAGGUGUUGGCGACAUUCCACGUCGUCGGUGCCGCAGCUAACGCAUUAAGUUCCCCGCCUGGGGAGUACGGCCGCAAGGCUAAAA